ACGGGAGGCAGCAGUGAGGAAUAUUGGUCAAUGGGCGGAAGCCUGAACCAGCCAAGUCGCGUGAAGGAAGAAGGUAUUAUGUAUUGUAAACUUCUUUAGACGUAGAGAAAUAAGGGGAUCGUGAUCCCUGAUGCUAGUAUACGUAGAAUAAGGAUCGGCUAACUCCGUGCCAGCAGCCGCGGUAAUACGGAGGAUCCGAGCGUUAUCCGGAUUUAUUGGGUUUAAAGGGAGCGCAGGCGGCCUUUUAAGCGUGUUGUGAAAUGUAGUGGCUCAACCUCUGCACUGCAGCGCGAACUGGAGGGCUUGAGUACGCGGGAAGUAGGCGGAAUUCGUCGUGUAGCGGUGAAAUGCUUAGAUAUGACGAAGAACUCCGAUUGCGAAGGCAGCCUACUGUAGCGUUACUGACGCUAAAGCUCGAAAGUGUGGGUAUCGAACAGGAUUAGAUACCCUGGUA
Molecule: ribosomal RNA, 454 nt
Filed under: uncultured Porphyromonadaceae bacterium
Lineage: Bacteria; Pseudomonadati; Bacteroidota; Bacteroidia; Bacteroidales; Porphyromonadaceae
Description: bacterial SSU rRNA
Rfam family: Bacterial small subunit ribosomal RNA
Source: RNAcentral